Long non-coding RNA from Nyctereutes procyonoides (raccoon dog), 2328 nucleotides. RefSeq lists it as uncharacterized. Lineage: Eukaryota; Metazoa; Chordata; Mammalia; Carnivora; Canidae. The transcript has 2 exons. The record is from RefSeq and is a predicted model, not a curated record.
UGGCGGCCGCGCAGCAGCGUCCCGGCUCGCGGCCGGCGCGGGCACACGGCGAGGGGGCUCUGGAGCCGCCCCGAGGACCCCCCCCCCGGGAAUCGCCGGGAGGACACACCCCGCACCUGCAGGGGGAGAAGCGGCCACACCGAGGUCGGCGGGAAGUGCCGAGGCUCAGCGCGCGGAGAACCGGCCCCAGAGCGCCGGGCUGUGGAGGUGAGGGGGGCGGGGGUCUGCGAGGUUUUGCGGCCCGCCCGGAGGCCUGAAGGCCGGAGCACUCGGCUGCGGUAGAGCCCCGCGGGCGCGGCGCUGCUCCCGGAGAGAGGGCAGAGGACGGGACGCGGGCGUGCGAGGGGCGCCUGGGGCGUGGCCGCGUUCGCCGAGCGGAGACUCCCGUCCGGGAACAGAGGCCGGCCGCGGCAGGGCCAGCAGCCCCGGCAGCUCCGCGGGGCCAGGCUGCGGCCCGCUAACCCCCCGCCCGCCCCCCACACACGGCGGCCCCUCCGCCAGAACACCUGCACCAACCCCUGCCCUCGCCGCGUCUACCGACGUGAUGCCCCGCGGCCUUCAGCGCUCGUGGAAGGAGCAUCAGGUCUCUAACAAGCGAACCAGAGCACACCUGCUUAAAACUCGCCACGGAGCCUCUGCAGACGCCUGGUGUGAAGGGAGCGGCAGCCCAAACGCAGCCGCACGGUGCACCCCGCACACACCAGACACACUAACGAGAAGCCAGGCCGCGCGCGGGCCCUACACGACCCCUCCUUCACGAGGCCGUCGCUUUCAGGAGCAGGAAACAACUGGCUUUUUCUAACAACGGAGAAGGAGGCGGAGACUCAGACAAAAAUGCAAACACAGAGGAAUUUAUACCAAGAGAAAGGACAAAAUAAGGCCAUGGCCAGAAUAAGAAAAACAGAAUCACACAGAGAGAGAGAUUGGCAGAGACACAGGCAGAGGGAGAAGCAGGCUCCAUGCACCGGAAGCCCGACGUGGGAUUCGAUCCCGGGUCUCCAGGAUCGCGCCCUGGGCCAAAGGCAGGCGCUAAACCGCUGCGCCACCCAGGGAUCCCUGUCUGAUAGAAUCUAAAUGAGAAUUUAGAGGACCACUCGUAAGGAUGCUGUGUGGACUUGAGAUGGCAGUCGAAGGCUUCACGGAGACCAAUGUGGCACAGAUAAGACAGGAUUGUUGAGAGGUAAGAGAGUUGCCAAUAAAUGAGGUUGGAAACAGGAGGAAUGCAAUGAACAACAGGAUGAAAGAAGCAAAGGAACAAAUUAUUGACACAGAAGAUAAAGUAACAGAAGGUAAGCAAACUGAACAACAACAACAAAAAAAGGAUUACGCAAAACAAGGGUAGACUUAGGGAACUCAGUAACUCCAUCAAAUAACACACGAUAAACAUUCGUAUUCUAGGGAUCCCAGAAGGAGAAGAGAGAGAAAAGGUGGCAGAAAAUUUGAAGAAAUAAUAGCUGAAAACUUCCCUAAUCUGAGGAAGGAAACAGAUAUCCAGAUCCAAGACUCGGAGAACCCCCAACAAAGGCUGAUCCACACCACAACGUAUUAUCAUUAAACUGGCAAAAUAUGGUAAUAAGGGGGAAAAAAAAUCUUAAAAGCAGCAAGACAAAAGGAGAUGGUUACUUACAAGGGAAAACCCGUAAGUCUAGUCACAGAUUUUUAGCACAAACUCUCCAAGCCAGAAGGCAUGAUAUAUUCAAAGAGCUGGGAGGGAAAAAAAUCUCCAGUCACAAAUACUCUAUCCAGGAUAACAAAACUAUCCUUCAAAGUAGAAGGAGAAAUAGUUUCACAAACAAACAAGGACUUCCUGUGUCAAUGCUGAAAUUGGAGGACAAAUAAUUAUGUACCCAGAUAGACAGAUGCUGGGUAAUAGCACAUGCAAGAAACCUUGGGAGACUUUUCUUCUAGUCUACCUUCCCCUAAAUAGUUCCUCCAUCCACCUAUCCAUCGGCCCAUUGAAACACCCCUCUCUCCCUCCUUUCCCUUCUCCCUUACCCAUCAGCUCAGGGAGGUAGUGUCACAUAAUGAAGUCUACAGACUACCAGCAGAAUGCCUGGAUUCUCACCUCUUAACUGUGUUCUUUGGUAAGCUACUUAAUCUUGCUAAGUUUUGGCUUCUCUGUCCUUGAAAUGGAAAUAAAACUAGACUUCUCAGGACACCUGGAUGGCUCAGCGGUUGAAGGCCUACCUUCAGCCCAGGGCAUGAUCCUGGUAUUGCAGGAUCGAGAUCCACAUUGGGCUCCCUGCAUGGAGCCUGCUUCUCUCUCUGCCGGUGUCUCUGCCUCUCUUUUUCUGUGUCUCUCAUGAAUAAAAUAAAAAAUAAAACUAG